AAUGAACGUUGGCGGCGUGGAUUAGGCAUGCAAGUCGAGCGAGAACCCGCAAGGGGGACAGCGGCAAACGGGGUAGGAAUGGUCGGUAACGUACCCUUCGGACGGGGAUAGCCACGGGAAACUGUGGGUAAUACCCGAUAACCUCCUUUCUUGUAACGGAGAGAGGAGCAAAGGUGAGAUUCCACCGGAGGAGCGGCUGACUUAGUAUUAGCUAGUUGGUGAGGUAAAAGCUUACCAAGGCAUCGAUGCUUAGGGGGUGUGAGAGCAUGGCCCCCACCACUGGGACUGAGAUACUGCCCAGACACCUACGGGUGGCUGCAGUCGAGGAUCUUCGGCAAUGGGCGCAAGCCUGACCGAGCGACGCCGCGUGUGGGAUGAAGGCCCUUGGGUUGUAAACCACUGUCGAGGGGGGACGAAAUGCGCGCGGGUACUCCCGUGCGUUUGACAGAGCCCCAGAGGAAGCGACGGGCUAAGUUCGUG
Molecule: ribosomal RNA, 480 nt
Filed under: uncultured bacterium
Lineage: Bacteria
Description: bacterial SSU rRNA
Rfam family: Bacterial small subunit ribosomal RNA
Source: RNAcentral